Molecule: RNase P RNA, 507 nt
Filed under: Candidatus Cardinium hertigii
Lineage: Bacteria; Pseudomonadati; Bacteroidota; Cytophagia; Cytophagales; Amoebophilaceae
Description: RNaseP_bact_a
Rfam family: Bacterial RNase P class A
About the family: Ribonuclease P (RNase P) is a ubiquitous endoribonuclease, found in archaea, bacteria and eukarya as well as chloroplasts and mitochondria. Its best characterised activity is the generation of mature 5'-ends of tRNAs by cleaving the 5'-leader elements of precursor-tRNAs.
Source: RNAcentral
AAAGUAAGCUGGCUUGUCGCUUUGGUGCUUAAUAGGAAGAGGAUGAUCGAAUAGCAUGUUGCGUGCAGCAUGUUUUCCUUAUUAAGGAAGCGGUCAGCUAUCCGUUUGGGUUAGCCGAAGAGGAAAGUCCGGGCAAUAGAGAGCGCCCUACUUCCUAACGGGAAGGCAUGGGGUAGUAGAUGACCCUGUGACAGCAAGUGCCACAGAAAAUAAACCGCUUGUUACAUUAGCUGAUGAUGUAGCAAGUAAGGGUGAAACGGUGCGGUAAGAGCGCACCGCUCUAUUGGUGACAAUAGAGGCAUGGUAAACCUUAGGGAUUGCAAGGCCAAGUAGGCAUACCUCUGCUUGCGUAGGUAAGUAGGACGGGCUGCUCGUCUGUUUUUCUUUUAUUAGAAAGGGUAUGCGGGUAGGCUGCUAGAGGGUCUAAGUGAUUAGGCCCCCAGAUAAAUGACAAGCAAGUGUAUCUGUUUUGCACUACAGAACCCGGCUUAUAGGCUUACUUUUCUU